AUGCAGAUGGGCAAGAAUAUUCAAGAUGAUAUUCGAGAUGCACAUCGGUUUGCCUCAGGGGAACGUUCCCCAUUACGGGACGUAACAAACUCACCUUUAAAUGGAAAUGCAGAGAGUAGUUCUGCUGCUCAAAAGAAAAGUGGCCAAUCAUGGUACACCAGAUGGUCUGAUGACAAGAAAGAAGAGAUCCUCGAGAAGUGUCGUGUCGCCCGACAACAGAAGAAGGCUGCAGCCAUACGAAGUCUAAACCAUGCCCAGGAAUCAGAGGCACGUGCUUCUUCUGUAGGGUCUGAGCAAUGUAUCCCUUUGACCAACAUCACCAACACACAUAUAGAUGUUAUGGUAUGUACGACCGCAAGCUCCGCGGGUACUGUUCAUCUUCAUCAAGACAAUAUUUCAGGCAAGAAAAGAAGUGGACAAAUUUGGUAUGCUGGGCUAUCUGACGAGCGGCGCGCUGAGUACAUAAACAAACAGAAGAUGGCCCGACUCACACGGAUAGUUGCCUCUGUUAGGGUGAAUGUCCAAGUGCCUACACCAUCUGCCCCACAAGCUUCAUCGGCUCAUACCUCUGGUUGA
This 576-nucleotide ribosomal RNA is filed under the name Triticum aestivum (bread wheat). Its description in RNAcentral is "partial small subunit ribosomal RNA". Lineage: Eukaryota; Viridiplantae; Streptophyta; Magnoliopsida; Poales; Poaceae. The record is from RNAcentral.